UGGGCCUUAAGAGUAGGGUGGAAGUGGAAUCCACAUUUGUUUUUCAGUCACUGAUGUAGAACUUACUCCAGCAAAAGGACUGUAAACAUGGAUUAUCUGUCGCAUCUAAGGGAUGCACUUGUACAGCCCUUGACCUCACAAGGAGUAGACGGAGUACAGGAUGUUGUUGCACUUAUGGACACAUAUUAUUUGAUGAAAGAAGACUUUGAGAAUAUCAUGGAAAUCAGCAGCUGGGGUGGCACACCUAGUCCCUUUUCAAAGCUGGAUCCCAAGGUGAAAGCAGCCUUCACAAGAGCUUACAAUAAGGAAGCCCACCUUACUCCAUAUUCACUUCAAGCUAUAAAGGCAUCUAGACACAGCACAAGCCCAUCCCUGGAUUCGGAAUACAACGAAGAAUUAAAUGAAGAUGACUCUCAGUCUGAUGAGAAAGACCAAGAUGCUAUAGAAACUGAUGCCAUAAUCCAGAAAAAGACAAAAUCUUCAAAGCCUUCAAAA
RNAcentral lists this small RNA (495 nucleotides) under Pongo abelii (Sumatran orangutan). RNAcentral describes it as "processed transcript". The record is from RNAcentral. Lineage: Eukaryota; Metazoa; Chordata; Mammalia; Primates; Hominidae.